ACGCUCGACACCUACGGGGGGCAGCAGUGGGGAAUAUUGCACAAUGGGGGAAACCCUGAUGCAGCAACGCCGCGUGAAGGAAGACGGUUUUCGGAUUGUAAACUUCUGUUCUUAGUGAAGAUAGUGACGGUAGCUAAGGAGCAAGCCACGGCUAACUACGUCNNNCNCGCGUAGUAUGNGCGGCGNGNGAGAG
RNAcentral lists this ribosomal RNA (193 nucleotides) under uncultured bacterium. Its description in RNAcentral is "partial 16S ribosomal RNA". It matches the Rfam family "Bacterial small subunit ribosomal RNA", at positions 328 to 540 of the family's 1533-position model. The record is from RNAcentral.